RNAcentral lists this long non-coding RNA (463 nucleotides) under Ananas comosus (pineapple). RNAcentral's name for it is "long non-coding RNA (ACOM_LNC034809)". The record is from RNAcentral. Lineage: Eukaryota; Viridiplantae; Streptophyta; Magnoliopsida; Poales; Bromeliaceae.
UUUGUUUUUGGGGCCUAGUGGAGCAGGAGCUGAGGUCAGUAAUUGCCCACUGGGAACUAUAGCUUAUAGUUCUCACGCCCUCUUUUUCUCGAUGUUUUCAGAGCCUUCCACUCAGGGCGAGGCUAGGGACCGCGGGAAGGGAGUUGCUUCGAGCUAGCUUCCUUUGAGGACGAUUCGCUAGGUGGUCUACCUCUCGUUGUGUUUUACUUUGGAGAGGUUGAGAGUUCUACCAGUGUAUUAGAGACCACCGUUUUUGUACUUUUGAGACAGAUAUUGUACUACUUAUGAUUUCUUUAUUGUCUAGCUUUGCUUGCUCUGAUAUCUCUAGUUGCUAGUUAUUUUAUUUCUUAUAUUUGUUCUAUCUCUUGCUUUUACUUCCGCUUUUAUUGUAGACGCCUUAUAUGUGUAGACAUAUGGCGGGUCUGGGCACGCUACUGGGAGGGCCUCCGCCGGUCCCGGGGCG